CGCUGUCCUCAAGCAAAUCCCUUUCAGGUUCUCACGAGAGCCGCUGAAACAUUAUCUAAAUCCCGUCUUCCUGUUACAGAUGAGGAAACUGGGGCGCACCUUGGCUUAUUCAAGGUGUCCUCAGAUAUCAAGUGGCAGAGCUGAUGCUGGAGUCUCAGGCGAGAGCAGCACCCUUUGACCUUUUCAACUCUUACCCGCCUGAAAAUGGAGGAAAAAAGGGACAAUAAUGCCUGCUCUACCUUCCAAGGAUGUUGAAAUUAUCAAACAGAUUGUGGAUAUUCAAGUGAUUUGGAAAACUCUCAGAUUCUAGAGCCACCCGGAUUGGAAGCGGCUAAACGGCCUCCCACCCUUAAUCUCACUGUCUGAAUGAUAAAUCCUGCAGGACUGCUCCUUCCAUUCAAGCCCUUCACACUCUCCUUUGAGGAGCUGCUCCCUCCACCCCCCCGAAUUGUGUGACCCGAUGACCAAUUGGAGAUGCCACAAGGAACAAAACUCAGCGAGGCCAGAAGGUCGUUUGGUGCCCAAACUGCCACUCUAGGAAAUGUCUGCAAAUUCAUCCGUGUAAUGUAGUUGAUCAAUGAAGACAACAUGGUGUGUUUGCAUUCUCUCUCGCCCCAAGGAAGCUCAGAGGAACAAAAUGGUAACUGAUCACUUGGACUUUGUUGUCCAGUAAUCAUGAAAGACACAAAGGAUCCUGGUUCUUCUCCCUAUGAUGAGCUGCAAUCCCGAGGAUUUAUUGUGAGAAAAGGGGGCAGAUUCAAGGGUACAACAGUCUGUGGUCUUGAAAUAGGACAAAGGUAUUGGUUCCUUACAGGAAUAAAGCCAGUGAACUUAGA
Molecule: long non-coding RNA, 836 nt
Organism: Phacochoerus africanus (Common warthog)
Lineage: Eukaryota; Metazoa; Chordata; Mammalia; Artiodactyla; Suidae
Exons: 4
Source: RefSeq, a predicted model, not a curated record